GACGAACGCUGGCGGCGUGCCUAAUACAUGCAAGUCGAGCGAAGUUUUUCUGGUGCUUGCACUAGAAAAACUUAGCGGCGAACGGGUGAGUAACACGUAAAGAACCUGCCUCAUAGACUGGGACAACUAUUGGAAACGAUAGCUAAUACCGGAUAACAGUAUUUCUCGCAUGAGAGAUAUUUAAAAGUUGGUUAUGCUAACACUAUGAGAUGGCUUUGCGGUGCAUUAGCUAGUUGGUGGGGGAAAGGCCCACCAAGGCGACGAUGCAUAGCCGACCUGAGAGGGUGAUAGGCAAAACUGGAACUGAGAAACGGCCCAAACUCCUACGGGAGGCAGCAGUAGGGAAUCUUCCGCAAUGGGCGAAAGCCUGACGGAGCAACGCCGCGUGAGUGAAGAAGGAUUUCGGUUCGUAAAGCUCUGUUGUUAGGGAAGAAUGGAUAUGUAGUAACUAUACAUGUAAGAGACGGUACCUAACCAGAAAGCCACGGCUAACUACGU
RNAcentral lists this ribosomal RNA (498 nucleotides) under uncultured bacterium. RNAcentral describes it as "partial 16S ribosomal RNA". It matches the Rfam family "Bacterial small subunit ribosomal RNA", at positions 28 to 506 of the family's 1533-position model. The record is from RNAcentral.